CGCCCGGAGAGAUCAGCUCAUCUCCUGCCUACGUACCUCAUCUGGUAUGAGGAUCAGGGCGACGUAGUUCCCCUACGGGGGGAUAAAGGACUAGCCUAACCAGAUAACAAAGGGAGACACAACUAGGGAGACUACGGCUCGAGCCUAGAUGUUAUCAUGCAAAACCAUCCCUAAGUUAAGGUUUCUAGCUAACUUGCACAGGGAGCAAGUCUAUCCUAAAUAUGACUUGCACAGGAAGCAAGCCACACCUAACUUGCA
Molecule: long non-coding RNA, 258 nt
Filed under: Lathyrus oleraceus (garden pea)
Lineage: Eukaryota; Viridiplantae; Streptophyta; Magnoliopsida; Fabales; Fabaceae
Description: Pisum sativum (pea) long non-coding RNA (PSAT_LNC009774)
Source: RNAcentral